AUCUUUUAAUAUUUGUGGAAAUCUUUUUAAAAAUAGAAAAUGGACCCAAUUUAAUGGAUAUCAAUCAACAAAGAGGUAUACAGACGAGGAGGCAUAGAAAGGUAUUGGUAUGUUAUGCAGAUCACAUUUACCAUCCUCCUCCCUUACCUCUUCAAUAAAAAUCACAUAGGCCUCUACAUUAUGGACAAGGUAUGUGUAUGAAAACCAAUUUCAAAAGUGUUUUUCACAUUUACCACAAAAACCAAGGUAUGAAUACUGUCGUGUGCAUGUUUUGUUAAUCAUCUGUAUAAUUACUAUUUUUGAAUUCACAGACUUCACCCUCCCUACACCUCUGAUUAAUAUAACAGGAAACCUGUUUGAUCACCAUGUACUGCAAAAUCAUUCUGGCUAUGGAUACGGAGAACAUCAACACAUUAACAUCAACACGUCAGAGGAUAAACCGAUUGGACUUGGGGCUCUGCUGGGAGUUUACCUCAUACUUAGAUUUUCUAUUCUGCUUUGCCACUAAAAUCAUAAUAAACACUG
This 525-nucleotide long non-coding RNA is filed under the name Salmo salar (Atlantic salmon). Its description in RNAcentral is "lncRNA (ENSSSAG00000098026.1)". The record is from RNAcentral. Lineage: Eukaryota; Metazoa; Chordata; Actinopteri; Salmoniformes; Salmonidae.